AUCCUUGGCUGCUUGCUUUCUCUUUCCCUCAGUUUAUCUCUUAGAG
This 46-nucleotide small RNA is filed under the name Mus musculus (house mouse). The record is from RNAcentral. Lineage: Eukaryota; Metazoa; Chordata; Mammalia; Rodentia; Muridae.